Molecule: long non-coding RNA, 320 nt
Filed under: Salmo salar (Atlantic salmon)
Lineage: Eukaryota; Metazoa; Chordata; Actinopteri; Salmoniformes; Salmonidae
Description: lncRNA (ENSSSAG00000095872.1)
Source: RNAcentral
GGGGCGGCACGUAGCCUAGUGGUUAGAGGGGCGGCAGGAAGCCUAGUGGUUAGAGGGGCGGCAGGUAGCCUAGUGGUUAGAGGGGUGGCAGGUAGCCUAGUGGUUAGAGGGGUGGCAGGUAUCCUAGUGGUUAGAGGGGCAGCAGGUAGCCUAGUGGUUAGAGGGGCGGCAGGUAGCCUAGUGGUUAGAGGGGUGGCAGGUAGCCUAGUGGUUAGAGGGGCGGCAGGUAGCCUAGUGGUUAGAGGGGUGGCAGGUAGCCUAGUGGUUAGAGGGGGGAGGCAGGUGGCCUAGUGGUUAGAGGGGUGGCAGGUAGCCUUGUG